GAUGAACGCUGGCGGCGUGCUUAACACAUGCAAGUCGAACGGAAAGGCUCCUGCUUGCAGGGGUACUCGAGUGGCGAACGGGUGAGUAACACGUGGGUGAUCUGCCCUGCACUUCGGGAUAAGCCUGGGAAACUGGGUCUAAUACCGGAUAGGACGAUGGUUUGGAUGCCAUUGUGGAAAGUUUUUCGGUGUGGGAUGAGCUCGCGGCCUAUCAGCUUGUUGGUGGGGUAAUGGCGUACCAAGGCGUCGACGGGUAGCCGGCCUGAGAGGGUGUACGGCCACAUUGGGACUGAGAUACGGCCCAGACUCCUACGGGAGGCAGCAGUGGGGAAUAUUGCACAAUGGGCGCAAGCCUGAUGCAGCGACGCCGCGUGGGGGAUGACGGCCUUCGGGUUGUAAACUCCUUUCGCUAGGGACGAAGCGCAAGUGACGGUACCUGGAGAAGAAGCACCGGCUAACUACGUG
RNAcentral lists this ribosomal RNA (465 nucleotides) under uncultured bacterium. RNAcentral describes it as "partial 16S ribosomal RNA". It matches the Rfam family "Bacterial small subunit ribosomal RNA", at positions 28 to 507 of the family's 1533-position model. The record is from RNAcentral.